AUUGAACGCUGGCGGCAUGCCUUACACAUGCAAGUCGAACGCGAAAGGGGGCAACCCUGAGUAGAGUGGCGAACGGGUGAGUAAUGCAUCGGAACAUUUCCUGUAGUGGGGGAUAACCUCGAGAAAUCGAGGCUAAUACCGCGUACGUCCUACGGGAGAAAGCGGGGAUCGCAAGACCUCGCGCUAUAGGAGUGGCCGAUGCCGGAUUAGCUAGUUGGCGGGGUAAAAGCCCACCAAGGCGACGAUCCGUAGCUGGUCUGAGAGGAUGAUCAGCCACACUGGGACUGAGACACGGCCCAGACUCCUACGGGAGGCAGCAGUGGGGAAUUUUGGACAAUGGGCGCAAGCCUGAUCCAGCCAUGCCGCGUGAGUGAAGAAGGCC
This 382-nucleotide ribosomal RNA is filed under the name uncultured bacterium. RNAcentral's name for it is "bacterial SSU rRNA". It matches the Rfam family "Bacterial small subunit ribosomal RNA", at positions 29 to 416 of the family's 1533-position model. The record is from RNAcentral.